RNAcentral lists this ribosomal RNA (440 nucleotides) under uncultured bacterium. RNAcentral's name for it is "partial 16S ribosomal RNA". It matches the Rfam family "Bacterial small subunit ribosomal RNA", at positions 338 to 795 of the family's 1533-position model. The record is from RNAcentral.
CCUACGGGAGGCAGCAGUGGGGAAUAUUGCACAAUGGGGGAAACCCUGAUGCAGCGACGCCGCGUGAAGGAAGAAGUAUCUCGGUAUGUAAACUUCUAUCAGCAGGGAAGAAAAUGACGGUACCUGACUAAGAAGCCCCGUCUAACUACGUGCCAGCAGCCGCGGUAAUACGUAGGGGGCAAGCGUUAUCCGGAUUUACUGGGUGUAAAGGGAGCGUAGACGGAAGAGCAAGUCUGAUGUGAAAGGCUGGGGCUUAACCCCAGGACUGCAUUGGAAACUGUUUUUCUAGAGUGCAGGAGAGGUAAGCGGAAUUCCUAGUGUAGCGGUGAAAUGCGUAGAUAUUAGGAGGAACACCAGUGGCGAAGGCGGCUUACUGGACGGUAACUGACGUUGAGGCUCGAAAGCGUGGGGAGCAAACAGGAUUAGAUACCCGUGUAGUC